AGUGGCGGACGGGUGAGUAACACGUAAGAAUUUGCCUUUAGGAGGGGGACAACAACUGGAAACGGUUGCUAAUACCCCAUAUGCUUUCGAGUGAAACGGAUUUUUCCGCCUAAAGAGAAGCUUGCGGCUGAUUAGCUUGUUGGUGAGGUAAUGGCUCACCAAGGCGACGAUCAGUAUCUGGUUUGAGAGGACGAUCAGACACACUGGAACUGAGACACGGUCCAGACUCCUACGGGAGGCAGCAGUAGGGAAUUUUCCGCAAUGGGCGAAAGCCUGACGGAGCAAUACCGCGUGAGGGAUGACGGCCUAUGGGUUGUAAACCUCUUUUUUCAGGGAGGAAUCAAAUGACGUGUACCUGAAGAAUAAGCAUCGGCUAACUCCGUGCCAGCAGCCGCGGUAAGACGGGGGAUGCAAGUGUUAUCCGGAAUCACUGGGCGUAAAGCGUCUGUAGGUGGUCAAAUAAGUCAACUGUUAAAUCUUGAGGCUCAACCUCAAAAUCGCAGUCGAAACUAUUAGACUAGAGUAUAGUAGGGGUAAAGGGAAUUUCCAGUGGAGCGGUGAAAUGCGUAGAGAUUGGAAAGAACACCGAUGGCGAAGGCACUUUACUGGGCUAUUACUAACACUCAGAGACGAAAGCUAGGGUAGCAAGUGGGAUUAGAUACCCCAGUAGUCCUAGCCGUAAACAAUGGAUACUAGAUGU
Molecule: ribosomal RNA, 700 nt
Filed under: uncultured bacterium
Lineage: Bacteria
Description: bacterial SSU rRNA
Rfam family: Bacterial small subunit ribosomal RNA
Source: RNAcentral